This is a non-coding RNA of Ciona savignyi (Pacific transparent sea squirt), 83 nucleotides long. Lineage: Eukaryota; Metazoa; Chordata; Ascidiacea; Phlebobranchia; Cionidae. The record is from Rfam.
GGUAGCGUGGCCGAGCGGUCUAAGGCGCUGGUUUUAGGCACCAGUCAUUUCGAUGGUGUGGGUUCGAAUCCCACCCGCUGCCA